GUCGUCAGAGUGGUUGUGAUAUGUUAUCUUUUAAAUCAUAUCACAGCCAGCUUUGAUGAGCG
This 62-nucleotide microRNA precursor is filed under the name Limulus polyphemus (Atlantic horseshoe crab). RNAcentral describes it as "Lpo-Mir-2-P4k_pre stem-loop". It matches the Rfam family "mir-2 microRNA precursor family", at positions 5 to 68 of the family's 72-position model. From Rfam's summary of the family: The miRNAs are transcribed as ~70nt precursors (modelled here) and subsequently processed by the Dicer enzyme to give a ~22nt product. In this case the mature sequence comes from the 3' arm of the precursor. The extents of the hairpin precursors are not generally known and are estimated based on hairpin prediction. Lineage: Eukaryota; Metazoa; Arthropoda; Merostomata; Xiphosura; Limulidae. The record is from RNAcentral.